CGGAGGUUUUUCAGUAGGAUGGGUUUUGGACUUGUAUAGGAAAGCUGUGGGGAAAAGUGGUUGAACUGUGUCAUUUUGUUUUUUUAGAGGUUAAACACAAGUUAGCUGUGUUUUUUUUGGUUGGUUGGUUGGAUGGCUGUUUUUUUGGUAAUAACUGUGAAUGUAAAUUGUCACGAGAUACUCUGGACAGUUGUUCUACUUAUCUGUCUUUCCAAAUGUGUGUGGGCACUGCACUUGAUACAGGAGAUAAUUGUAGGAGAUACUUGAUGCAAAACUCCCCUUUACGUUACAUUUUCUAUGGGAUAAAAGAGGAGUGUUAUAACAGCCAAGGGUGGGCAGGAAAGAGUAAGGAGAAAUGUGAGAGUAAGAGUUUUGAGACCGUGACUGUGUCCCGUGGCCCCCAGCACAAGAGAGACUUGGAUGUACUGGAAAGAGUGUUAUGGAGGGCCACCAAGAUGAUGAAGGGCCUGGAGCACCUCUCCUGUGAGGAGAGGCUGAGAGAGCUGGGGCUGUUCAGCCUGGAGAAGAGGAGGCUCAGGGGGAAGUUAGCAGUUGUAGAUCUUAAAUAAACGCCAACAAAAUGGCUGGCAAAAUCUAACCUAGAUUCUUUUGAUUGAAAUAACAUUUAAGAGUGAUCUGAGAUAACUGAUUUCUUCUUUUUCUUUUUUCCUUCAAAUUUCAAACUUCAAAUUUCAAUCUGAUUUUUCAAUUAUUUUUUAAUAGUUUUAGCAGAAUUUUUUAAAAUCUGGGGGAAAGAAACCUCUCUUCUGCAUAGUCCCCCUCUUCCUGAUGCAGGCUUUGAGUCAAUACGAGUUCAUCAAAAGGCACUCAGUUUUUCCAAGGACUUGUAAAAUUAAACAUGAUAAAGCUGUGAAAGUAAUCAGUAUGUGUAAUGUAUUUUGAGGACUUUAUUUAUUUAUUUAUUUAUUUAUUUUUUCCAGUGACUGGCAUGAAACAUUUUUUCAUAUAUUCAAAUUCAUACCUAGAAAUGCACUUUCCACAGUUAAAAGUGUCACAAGAACUUCAUUUUUAUCUGUUAAAAAUAAUUAUGGGAUUUGACUUUUUCUAUGCUUUUAUUUCUACAGGAGUAUAAAUGGUGAUUUCUUUUAUUACUCUUUGCUAUUCAGAUAUGUCAAGGAAUUUCAAAGAAAAACAAAACUUUGCCACUGAAAACAAAAUUCCUGCACUACCAGAGCUGGAGGAGGCAGCAGCAGGAACAGAAGAACCAACAUCUCUCCAGGUGGAGGGAUGGAGGAACACAUGCUCCCAUGUGCUUGUGGAUGUGGAAGUGUGACGGGAGAUCUGCAUCAGACCAGGAUAAGGUUUAUGGCAUCUGAAUCCCUCCUCAGUCCUGACACCUAACAUUUGCUGUUGGAUGUCCCUUUGUUCCUGCAUAAACCCAACAUGCUUUAACCUAAUGCAAUAAACCUUGUUAAACUUAUAAAAUGUGAUUAGCAAAGAACAAAGAAUUCCUCCUACUUUC
Long non-coding RNA from Anas platyrhynchos (mallard), 1483 nucleotides. RefSeq lists it as uncharacterized. The record is from RefSeq and is a predicted model, not a curated record. Lineage: Eukaryota; Metazoa; Chordata; Aves; Anseriformes; Anatidae.